CCGCCUGGGGAGUACGGCCGCAAGGUUAAAACUCAAAUGAAUUGACGGGGGCCCGCACAAGCGGUGGAGCAUGUGGUUUAAUUCGAUGCAACGCGAAGAACCUUACCUGGUCUUGACAUCCACGGAAGUUUUCAGAGAUGGAAUGUGCCUUCGGGAACCGUGAGACAGGUGCUGCAUGGCUGUCGUCAGCUCGUGUUGUGAAAUGUUGGGUUAAGUCCCGCAACGAGCGCAACCCUUAUCCUUUGUUGCCAGCGAUUAGGUCGGGAACUCAAAGGAGACUGCCAGUGAUAAACUGGAGGAAGGUGGGGAUGACGUCAAGUCAUCAUGGCCCUUACGACCAGGGCUACACACGUGCUACAAUGGCGCAUACAAAGAGAAGCGACCUCGCGAGAGCAAGCGGACCUCAUAAAGUGCGUCGUAGUCCGGAUUGGAGUCUGCAACUCGACUCCAUGAAGUCGGAAUCGCUAGUAAUCGUGGAUCAGAAUGCCACGGUGAAUACGUUCCCGGGCCUUGUACACACCGCCCGUCACACCAUGGGAGUGGGUUGCAAAAGAAGUAGGUAGCUUAACCUUCGGGAGGGCGCUUACCACUUUGUGAUUCAUGACUGGGGUGAAGUCGUAACAAGGUAACCGUAGGGGAACCUGCGGUUGGAUCACCUCCUUACCUUAAAGAAGC
Molecule: ribosomal RNA, 675 nt
Filed under: Salmonella enterica subsp. enterica serovar Mbandaka
Lineage: Bacteria; Pseudomonadati; Pseudomonadota; Gammaproteobacteria; Enterobacterales; Enterobacteriaceae
Description: bacterial SSU rRNA
Rfam family: Bacterial small subunit ribosomal RNA
Source: RNAcentral